GGCUGGUCCGAGUGCAGUGGUGUUUACAACUAAUUAAUCACAACCAAUUACAGAUUCCUUUGUUCCUUCUCCACUCCCACUGCUUCACUUGACUAGCCUAAA
This 102-nucleotide Y RNA is filed under the name Prolemur simus (greater bamboo lemur). RNAcentral's name for it is "Y RNA (ENSPSMG00000023345.1)". It matches the Rfam family "Y RNA". Rfam says of the family: Y RNAs are components of the Ro ribonucleoprotein particle (Ro RNP), in association with Ro60 and La proteins. The Y RNAs and Ro60 and La proteins are well conserved, but the function of the Ro RNP is not known. In humans the RNA component can be one of four small RNAs -- hY1, hY3, hY4 and hY5. Lineage: Eukaryota; Metazoa; Chordata; Mammalia; Primates; Lemuridae. The record is from Rfam by way of RNAcentral.